Molecule: long non-coding RNA, 2833 nt
Filed under: Mytilus galloprovincialis (Mediterranean mussel)
Lineage: Eukaryota; Metazoa; Mollusca; Bivalvia; Mytilida; Mytilidae
Source: RNAcentral
AAAAUAUGAAUUUCGAGCAAAGGUCAAAAUCUAGAACGUCCAAUUAACCUAUGACCUUGACCUCAAUUUCAAGGUCAUAAACAUAGGAUCCCAAAUCAAAAGACCCUAGGUCUGUAUUAUGUAUGGUUCAUGAGUAAUAUCACUUUACGCAUAAUUCUAAAUAUAAGAGGGGCAAAAACUCCCAUUUAUUGUCUACGCACCCUUGUAACCAAAAUUUAUAAGUAACGACAUGUCGCAACUAACAAUUUAGUAAAAAUAAUUUGUCGAAAUCUUAUUAAGUAAUUGAAAAUAAGUGAAAAUAAAGCAAAAAUCAAAAUUUAAAAUUUGACCUUGACCUUUGACCUUGACCUAAUUUUCAUUUUUUUGGACCAAGGAUCUAAAAUCAAAAGACCCUAGGUCUCUAUCACUUAUGGUUUACCAGUUAGAAAUGCAUAUCACAUAUAUAUAAAGGGGGGAUAACUCUCAUAUGGAGUCUCCGGAUAGCUUCGGUCAAAAUGAAACAGAACAUCCUGAGGAUAUAACGAGCAAUUUGGAAAAAUAAAUUUGUCGGUUUCUUAUACGGUUGCGAAGCCUUAGUGGCCACAAGAAAAACAGUGUUCGGGAGAUAACUCUUACAAGGUAAAGGUUUUUGUUACGCGGUGUCAGUUUCAGAAGCGCAUUAACUGUUCGAUAUAAUAUACCAAAUAUCUAAGCGACAUCUUGUGAAACAAAAAAACAGCGAAGGAAAAAAAAGUUGGCGGAAGAAAAAAAAAAAAAAUAAUAAUAAUAAUAAUUAAAAACCAAUUGUUCAAAGAACAAUUGAAGGUCUUUCAACCAAUAAGGAUCUAUUUAGAUAUGAAAAUAUUAAAAUUCAGUUGAAAAUGUCAGUUCCUAUGGCUUAAUGAUGUAUAACUAUGAAUUUUAAGGAAAAGGUCAAAAUCUAGAACGUCCAAUUAACCUAUGACCUUGACCUCAAUUUCAAGGUCAUAGACUAAACAUCUCAAAUAAAAAGACACUAGUUCCUUAAUAUGUAUGGUUCAUGAGUAAAAUCACUUUACGCAUAAUUCUUAAAUAUAAGAGGGACGAAAACUCCCUUUUAUUGUUUACGCACCCUUGCAACCAAAAUUUAUAAGUUACGACAUGUCGCAACUAACAAUUUAGUAAAAAAAAAAUUGUCGAUAUCUUAUAAGGUUAAUGAAAAAAGGUGAAAAUAAGCCAAAAUCAAAAUUUAGAAUUUGACCUUGACCUUUGACCUUGACCUAAUUUUCAUUUUUUUGGACCAAGGAUCUUAAAUCAAAAGACCCUAGGUCUCUAUCACUUAUAGUUUACCAGUUAGAAAUGCAUAUCACUGAUAUCAUAUAUAAAAGGGGGGAUAACUCUCAUAUGGAGUCUCCGGAUAGCUUCGGUUGAAAUGAAACAGAACAUCCUAAGGAUAUAACGAGCAAAUUUGGAAAAUAAAUUUGUCGGUUUCUUAUACGGUUGCGAAGGAGUAGUGGCCACAAGAAAAACAGUGUUCGGGGAGAUAACUCUUACAAGGUAAAGUUUUUUGUUACGCGGUGUCAGUUUCAGAAGCGUAUUAACUGUUCGAUAUCAUUUACCUUAUAUCUAAGCGACAUCUUGUGAAACAAAAAAACAGCGAAGGAAAAAAAGUUGGCGGAAGAAAAAAAAAAAAAAAAAUAAUAAUAAUAAUCAGAACAAACCCUAUAGGUCUUUCAACUGAAAGGUUGAAAGACCUAAUAAUAAUAAUCAGAACAAAUACAAUAGGUCUUUCAACAGAAAAGGUUGAAAGACCUAAUUAAAAACCAAUUGUUCAGAGAACAAUUGAAGGUCUUUCAACCAAUAAGGAUCUAUUUAGAUAUGAAAAUAUUAAAAUUCAGUUGAAAAUGUCAGUUCCUAUGGCUUAAUGAUGUAUAAAUAUGAAUUUUAAGCAAAGGUCAAAAUCUAGAACGUCCAAUUAACCUAUGACCUUGACCUCAAUUUCAAGGUCAUAGACUAAACAUCUCAAAUAAAAAGACACUAGUUCCUUAAUAUGUAUGGUUCAUGAGUAAAAUCACUUUACGCAUAAUUCUUAAUAUAAGAGGGGCGAAAACUCCCUUUUAUUGUUUACGCACCCUCGCAACCAAAAUUUAUAAGUUACGACAUGUCGCAACUAACAAUUUAGUAAAAAAAAAUUGUCGAUAUCUUAUAAGGUUAAUGAAAAAAAAAAGUGAAAAAAAGCCAAAAUCAAAAUUUAAGAAUUUGACCUUGACCUUUGACCUUGACCUAAUUUUCAUUUUUUUGGACCAAGGAUCUUAAAAUCAAAAGACCCUAGGUCUCUAUCACUUAUGGUUUACCAGUUAGAAAUGCAUAUCACUUAUAUCAUAUAUAAAAGGGGGAUAACUCUCAUAUGGAGUCUCCGGAUAGCUUCGGUCAAAAUGAAACAGAACAUCCUGAGGAUAUAACGAGCAAUUUGGAAAAAUAAAUUUGUCGGUUUCUUAUACGGUUGCGAAGCCUUAGUGGCCACAAGAAAAACAGUGUUCGGGGAGAUAACUCUUACAAGGUAAAGGUUUUUGUUACGCGGUGUCAGUUUCAGAAGCGCAUUAACUGUUCGAUAUCAUAUACCAAAUAUCUAAGCGACAUCUUGUGAAACAAAAAAACAGCGAAGGAAAAAAAAGUUGCGGAAAAAAAAAAAAAAAAAAAAAUAAUAAUAAUAAUAAUUAAAAACCAAUUGUUCAAAGAACAAUUGAAGGUCUUUCAACCAAUAAGGAUCUAUUUAGAUAUGAAAAAUAUUAAGAUUCAGUUGAAAAUGUCAGUUCCUAUGGCUUUAUGAUAUGAAAAUAUGAAUUUGGAGCAAAGGUCAAAAUCUAGAACGUCC